This 684-nucleotide ribosomal RNA is filed under the name Streptomyces sp. RNAcentral's name for it is "bacterial SSU rRNA". It matches the Rfam family "Bacterial small subunit ribosomal RNA", at positions 801 to 1484 of the family's 1533-position model. The record is from RNAcentral. Lineage: Bacteria; Bacillati; Actinomycetota; Actinomycetes; Kitasatosporales; Streptomycetaceae.
CGUAACGUGGACUAGUGUGGCGCAUUCACGUCGUCGUGCCGCAGUAACGCAUAAGUCCCGCCUGGGAGUACGGCCGCAAGGCUAAAAUCAAAGGAAUUGACGGGGGCCCGCACAAGCAGCGGAGCAUGUGGUUAAUUCGACGCAACGCGAAGACCUUACCAAGGCUUGACAUACACCGGAAAGCAUCAGAGAUGGUGCCCCCCUUGUGGUCGGUGUACAGGUGGUGCAUGGCUGUCGUCAGCUCGUGUCGUGAGAUGUUGGGUUAAGUCCCGCAACGAGCGCAACCCUUGUUCUGUGUUGCCAGCAUGCCCUUCGGGGUGAUGGGGACUCACAGGAGACUGCCGGGGUCAACUCGGAGGAAGGUGGGGACGACGUCAAGUCAUCAUGCCCCUUAUGUCUUGGGCUGCACACGUGCUACAAUGGCCGGUACAAUGAGCUGCGAUGCCGCGAGGCGGAGCGAAUCUCAAAAAGCCGGUCUCAGUUCGGAUUGGGGUCUGCAACUCGACCCCAUGAAGUCGGAGUUGCUAGUAAUCGCAGAUCAGCAUUGCUGCGGUGAAUACGUUCCCGGGCCUUGUACACACCGCCCGUCACGUCACGAAAGUCGGUAACGACCCGAAGCCGGUGGCCCAACCCCUUGUGGGAGAGGAGCUGUCGGUAGAGCGUUGGAGUCUGCGCGGCGACGGG